UACGUAGGGGGCGAGCGUUGUCCGGAAUUAUUGGGCGUAAAGAGCGUGUAGGCGGCUUGGUAAGUCUGCUGUGAAACCUUGGGGCUCAACCCUAAGCGUGCAGUGGAUACUGUCAAGCUAGAGGAUGGUAGAGGCCAGUGGAAUUCCCAGUGUAGCGGUGAAAUGCGCAGAUAUUGGGAGGAACACCAGUAGCGAAGGCGGCUGGCUGGGCCAUUCCUGACGCUGAGACGCGAAAGCUAGGGGAGCGAACAGG
RNAcentral lists this unclassified non-coding RNA (253 nucleotides) under uncultured Rubrobacterales bacterium. Its description in RNAcentral is "contains 16S-23S intergenic spacer region". It matches the Rfam family "Bacterial small subunit ribosomal RNA", at positions 524 to 776 of the family's 1533-position model. Lineage: Bacteria; Bacillati; Actinomycetota; Rubrobacteria; Rubrobacterales. The record is from RNAcentral.